Molecule: ribosomal RNA, 261 nt
Filed under: uncultured bacterium
Lineage: Bacteria
Description: partial 16S ribosomal RNA
Rfam family: Bacterial small subunit ribosomal RNA
Source: RNAcentral
UACAGAGGGUGCAAGCGUUAAUCGGAAUUACUGGGCGUAAAGCGCGCGUAGGUGGUUGUGUAAGUUGGAUGUGAAAGCCCCGGGCUUAACCUGGGAACUGCAUUCAAAACUGCACGGCUAGAGUACGGGAGAGGGGGGUAGAAUUCCAGGUGUAGCGGUGAAAUGCGUAGAGAUCUGGAGGAACACCGGUGGCGAAGGCGGCAUCCUGGACCGACAUUGACGCUGAGGCGCGAAAGCCAGGGGAGCAAACGGGAUUAGAUA